CUUGUGCGCAACGUGGUAACCGAGGAGACUGAAGUCAACGUGUGCGCACUUAUGAUAAGGCAAAGAGGAAGGCCAAGAAGGCGGAAUGCGAGUUGGCUGUGGACACCACGGAGCUGUCGGCAAUGCUGCUGCGGGUGCAGCUGAGGCAUGAAGUACGGGUCGUGUCUGAGAGGCUGGAUGAAACUGAGCUCAGCCUGCCUUGUCGACGGUGCCUCCAGUUCUUCCUCGGCUACCUGCCGACAAUAUUAAAGAAUUAGAGGCAGCCGUGCGGGAUGAGGCUGUGGCUGCCACCUUGCGCAAGCACCUCCUGCAAAUAGGAGGGAAGUCACUGCGCGAGGUGGCAUCGUAUGCCAUGAAAGCUGUAAUGGCGCACCCCGUCCAAGUGCUUUACAGCCUUCAUAGCAGGAAGGGGAAGAGGGCAUUCAUCAAUUUGAAGUUAUGCCGGAUAGUCACAGAUUUCAUCUAUGCGAAAGGGGGGGGGGGCGACCUGACACAAGCACAGGACUUCAUUAAGUGGUUGCCAGGGUCUGUGGACAGCGGUGGUGGCAGGAAGAGGCGUUUCACGGC
This is a long non-coding RNA of Dermacentor silvarum, 567 nucleotides long. RefSeq lists it as uncharacterized. The transcript is spliced from 5 exons. Lineage: Eukaryota; Metazoa; Arthropoda; Arachnida; Ixodida; Ixodidae. The record is from RefSeq and is a predicted model, not a curated record.